GACAGAGGGUGCAAACGUUGUUCGGAAUUACUGGGCGUAAAGCGCGUGUAGGCUGCCCCGCAAGUCGGAUGUGAAAGCCCUGGGCUCAACCUAGGAAGUGCAUUCGAAACUGCGGGGCUGGAGUCCUGGAGAGGAAGGCGGAAUUCUCGGUGUAGAGGUGAAAUUCGUAGAUAUUGGGAGGAACACCAGUGGCGAAGGCGGCUCACUGGACCGGUACUGACGCUGAGGCGCGAAAGCGUGGGGAGCAAACGGG
RNAcentral lists this ribosomal RNA (253 nucleotides) under uncultured bacterium. RNAcentral's name for it is "partial 16S ribosomal RNA". It matches the Rfam family "Bacterial small subunit ribosomal RNA", at positions 524 to 776 of the family's 1533-position model. The record is from RNAcentral.